This 87-nucleotide transfer RNA is filed under the name Lithothamnion corallioides. Its description in RNAcentral is "tRNA-Tyr". It matches the Rfam family "tRNA". From Rfam's summary of the family: Transfer RNA (tRNA) molecules are approximately 80 nucleotides in length. Their secondary structure includes four short double-helical elements and three loops (D, anti-codon, and T loops). Lineage: Eukaryota; Rhodophyta; Florideophyceae; Hapalidiales; Hapalidiaceae. The record is from RNAcentral.
GAAGAGAUGGCUGAGUGGUUUAAGGCGAUAGAUUGUAAAUCUAUUAAUACAUAGUUAUAACCAUAGGUUCGAAUCCUAUUCUCUUCA